This 164-nucleotide small nuclear RNA is filed under the name Piliocolobus tephrosceles (Ugandan red Colobus). Its description in RNAcentral is "U1 spliceosomal RNA (ENSPTEG00000032519.1)". It matches the Rfam family "U1 spliceosomal RNA". From Rfam's summary of the family: U1 is a small nuclear RNA (snRNA) component of the spliceosome (involved in pre-mRNA splicing). The record is from Rfam by way of RNAcentral. Lineage: Eukaryota; Metazoa; Chordata; Mammalia; Primates; Cercopithecidae.
AUACUUACCUGGCAGGGGAGACACCAUGAUCACGAAGGUGGUUUUCCCAGGGCGAGGCUUAUCCAUUGCACUCCGGAUGUGCUGACCCCUGCGAUUUCCCCAAAUGUGGGAAACUCGAUUGCAUAAUUUGUGGUAGUGGGGGACUGCGUUCGCGCUUUCCCCUG